AUUCCAGCUCCAGUAGCGUAUAUUAAAGUUGUUGCAGUUAAAAAGCUCGUAGUUGGAUUUCUGGCGUGGUGCGCCCGGCCCGAUACCGCUAAGGUGUCGAGUGCCGGCGCGCGCCUGCCAUCCUUCCGGAGAGCGUGCCUACCCUUCACUGGGCCGGGUACGCGAUCUGGAUCGUUUACUUUGAAAAAAUUAGAGUGUUUAAAGCAGGCUUACGCUUCUGAAUACAUUAGCAUGGAAUAAUAAGAUAGGACUUUGGUUCUAUUCUGUUGGUUUCUAGAACUAAAGUAAUGAUUGAUAGGGACAGUUGGGGGUGCUAGUAUUUAACGGCCAGAGGUGAAAUUCUUGGAUUCGUUAAAGACUAACUAAUGCGAAAGCAUUCACCAAGGAUGUCUUCAUUA
RNAcentral lists this ribosomal RNA (398 nucleotides) under Massisteria sp. RNAcentral's name for it is "partial small subunit ribosomal RNA". It matches the Rfam family "Eukaryotic small subunit ribosomal RNA", at positions 582 to 975 of the family's 1831-position model. Lineage: Eukaryota; Cercozoa; Massisteriidae. The record is from RNAcentral.